Molecule: non-coding RNA, 78 nt
Organism: Podarcis lilfordi (Lilford's wall lizard)
Lineage: Eukaryota; Metazoa; Chordata; Lepidosauria; Squamata; Lacertidae
Source: the annotation of a GenBank genome assembly
GCUGGGAUAGCUCAGUCGGUAGAGCAUGAGACUCUUAAUCUCAGGAUUGUGCCCCGCAUUGGGUGAAAGAUUCCUGCA